Molecule: ribosomal RNA, 468 nt
Filed under: uncultured bacterium
Lineage: Bacteria
Description: partial 16S ribosomal RNA
Rfam family: Bacterial small subunit ribosomal RNA
Source: RNAcentral
GACGAACGCUGGCGGCGUGCUUAACACAUGCAAGUCGAACGGAAAGGCCCUGCUUUUGUGGGGUGCUCGAGUGGCGAACGGGUGAGUAACACGUGAGUAACCUGCCCUUGACUUUGGGAUAACUUCAGGAAACUGGGGCUAAUACCGGAUAGGAGCUCCUGCUGCAUGGUGGGGGUUGGAAAGUUUCGGCGGUUGGGGAUGGACUCGCGGCUUAUCAGCUUGUUGGUGGGGUAGUGGCUUACCAAGGCUUUGACGGGUAGCCGGCCUGAGAGGGUGACCGGCGACAUGGGGACUGAGGUAAGGCACAGGCUGCUACGGGAGGCAGCGGGGGGGAAGGGUGCACAAUGGGAGGAAGAAGGAUGCGGAAGCGGGGCGGGCGGGAUGACGGGAGGCGGGGAGUAAACAGCUUUAGCCUGUGACGAAGCGUGAGUGAGGGGAAUGGGUAAAGAAGCACGGGCUAGCUAGGUG